This 483-nucleotide ribosomal RNA is filed under the name uncultured bacterium. Its description in RNAcentral is "partial 16S ribosomal RNA". It matches the Rfam family "Bacterial small subunit ribosomal RNA", at positions 30 to 507 of the family's 1533-position model. The record is from RNAcentral.
AUUGAACGCUGGCGGCAGGCCUAACACAUGCAAGUCGAGCGGAUGAAGGGAGCUUGCUCCUGGAUUCAGCGGCGGACGGGUGAGUAAUGCCUAGGAAUCUGCCUGGUAGUGGGGGAUAACGUCCGGAAACGGGCGCUAAUACCGCAUACGUCCUGAGGGAGAAAGUGGGGGAUCUUCGGACCCACGCUAUCAGAUGAGCCUAGGUCGGAUUAGCUAGUUGGUGGGGUAAAGGCCUACCAAGGCGACGAUCCGUAACUGGUCUGAGAGGAUGAUCAGUCACACUGGAACUGAGACACGGUCCAGACUCCUACGGGAGGCAGCAGUGGGGAAUAUUGGACAAUGGGCGAAAGCCUGAUCCAGCCAUGCCGCGUGUGUGAAGAAGGUCUUCGGAUUGUAAAGCACUUUAAGUUGGGAGGAAGGGCAGUAAGUUAAUACCUUGCUGUUUUGACGUUACCAACAGAAUAAGCACCGGCUAACUUCGUG